UGUUGCAGCCCAGUUUUUGGGCGUUUCCUCCCUAGACUUUGGGCCGUACCGAUUGCUGGUACGGCCUUUUUUUUGUCUCGA
RNAcentral lists this small RNA (81 nucleotides) under Tistrella mobilis KA081020-065. Its description in RNAcentral is "Makes More Granules Regulator RNA (mmgR)". It matches the Rfam family "Makes More Granules Regulator RNA (mmgR)". From Rfam's summary of the family: SuhB later renamed mmgR (makes more granules regulator) was a putative non-coding RNA found multiple times in the Agrobacterium tumefaciens genome and related alpha-proteobacteria. Other non-coding RNAs uncovered in the same analysis include: speF, ybhL, metA, and serC. Lineage: Bacteria; Pseudomonadati; Pseudomonadota; Alphaproteobacteria; Geminicoccales; Geminicoccaceae. The record is from Rfam by way of RNAcentral.